RNAcentral lists this ribosomal RNA (254 nucleotides) under uncultured bacterium. RNAcentral describes it as "partial 16S ribosomal RNA". It matches the Rfam family "Bacterial small subunit ribosomal RNA", at positions 524 to 776 of the family's 1533-position model. The record is from RNAcentral.
UACGUAGGGUGCAAGCGUUGUCCGGAAUUAUUGGGCGUAAAGAGCUCGUAGGCGGUUUGUCGCGUCUGCUGUGAAAACCCGAGGCUCAACCUCGGGCCUGCAGUGGGUACGGGCAGACUAGAGUGCGGUAGGGGGAGAUUGGAAUUCCUGGUGUAGCGGUGGAAUGCGCAGAUAUCAGGAGGAACACCAAUGGCGAAGGCAGAUCUCUGGGCCGUAACUGACGCUGAGGAGCGAAAGCGUGGGGAGCGAACAGG